UUUAAAUUAAAUAUUAAUUAGCUUUGUUUUUAUGAUUUGUUAUUUAAUAAUUAUGAAAAUAUAUAUUUUUAGACAUUGGAUCCUCUUUUUCUUAAAUAAAAAAAAAGCAACAAAUAAGUGAAUAAAACAAAAAGAAAAAUAAAAGAAAUGGAGACUCCAACGUCUCUCUCUUACACGCGUCCUCCCUAUAUACUAGCCACUAUCACUCUCCACAAUCCACUCACAAA
RNAcentral lists this long non-coding RNA (227 nucleotides) under Lathyrus oleraceus (garden pea). RNAcentral's name for it is "Pisum sativum (pea) long non-coding RNA (PSAT_LNC038372)". The record is from RNAcentral. Lineage: Eukaryota; Viridiplantae; Streptophyta; Magnoliopsida; Fabales; Fabaceae.